AAAUUGAAGAGUUUGAUCAUGGCUCAGAUUGAACGCUGGCGGCAGGCCUAACACAUGCAAGUCGAACGGUAACAGGAAGCAGCUUGCUGUUUCGCUGACGAGUGGCGGACGGGUGAGUAAUGUCUGGGAAACUGCCUGAUGGAGGGGGAUAACUACUGGAAACGGUAGCUAAUACCGCAUAACGUCGCAAGACCAAAGAGGGGGACCUUCGGGCCUCUUGCCAUCGGAUGUGCCCAGAUGGGAUUAGCUAGUAGGUGGGGUAACGGCUCACCUAGGCGACGAUCCCUAGCUGGUCUGAGAGGAUGACCAGCCACACUGGAACUGAGACACGGUCCAGACUCCUACGGGAGGCAGCAGUGGGGAAUAUUGCACAAUGGGCGCAAGCCUGAUGCAGCCAUGCCGCGUGUAUGAAGAAGGCCU
RNAcentral lists this ribosomal RNA (420 nucleotides) under Shigella flexneri. RNAcentral describes it as "bacterial SSU rRNA". It matches the Rfam family "Bacterial small subunit ribosomal RNA", at positions 1 to 417 of the family's 1533-position model. The record is from RNAcentral. Lineage: Bacteria; Pseudomonadati; Pseudomonadota; Gammaproteobacteria; Enterobacterales; Enterobacteriaceae.